This 230-nucleotide unclassified non-coding RNA is filed under the name plant metagenome. RNAcentral's name for it is "partial contains small subunit ribosomal RNA and internal transcribed spacer 1". The stretch from base 1 to 46 matches the Rfam family "Eukaryotic small subunit ribosomal RNA", at positions 1786 to 1831 of the family's 1831-position model. The record is from RNAcentral.
AAGUCGUAACAAGGUUUCCGUAGGUGAACCUGCGGAAGGAUCAUUACCGAGAUAGGGUCCUUCGGGGCCCGACCUCCAACCCUUUGUCUACCUUACCACUGUUGCCUCGGCGGGUCGCCGGCGUCCUUGCGGGCGCCGCCGUCGGCCUCCGCGCUCUCGAGUGCCCGCCGCCAGGCCCUAUUAAACCCUUUAUAAUCGAGAAAUCUGAGCAUAAAAUCAAUACUUUAAAA